RNAcentral lists this ribosomal RNA (349 nucleotides) under uncultured bacterium. RNAcentral's name for it is "partial 16S ribosomal RNA". It matches the Rfam family "Bacterial small subunit ribosomal RNA", at positions 338 to 704 of the family's 1533-position model. The record is from RNAcentral.
CCUACGGGCGGCAGCAGUGGGGAAUAUUGCACAAUGGGGGAAACCCUGAUGCAGCGACGCCGCGUGAGUGAUGAAGGAUUUCGGGAUGUAAAGCUCUAUCAGCAGGGAAGAAAAGGACGGUACCUGACUAAGAAGCCCCGGCGAACUACGGGCCAGCAGCCGCGGUAAUACGUAGGGGGCAAGCGUGAUCCGGAGUGACUGGGGGUAAAGGGAGCGUAGACGGUCCGGCAAGCCAGAUGUGAAAGCCCGGGGCUCCACCCCGGGACUGCAUUUGGAACGGUAAGGCUAGAGUGUCGGAGCGGCAGGCGGAAUUCCUAGUGUAGCGGUUAAAUGCGUAGAUAUUAGGAGG